Molecule: long non-coding RNA, 173 nt
Organism: Astyanax mexicanus (Mexican tetra)
Lineage: Eukaryota; Metazoa; Chordata; Actinopteri; Characiformes; Acestrorhamphidae
Exons: 3
Source: RefSeq, a predicted model, not a curated record
GCCCAAACCUGUCUGUCACACAGCAAGGGAGCCGCUACCCUGUGGACCUUCCCUGUCAGGACUAUGAUGAACUGAAACCUGACUCUGGUGAAAGUAACUCAAGAGAAUAUAGGCCAGCUAAAUCUCUUUGUUGAUGAUGAUCCACCUCACUCCCUUCUGGCUCUUCAUGCACC